AUGCAUGGAAAUUUUUUGACUUGGAUUACAUUAAUUAUUAGCUAAUAACUGGUGAAUUCUGCACUGAUCUUCUUUGGAUCAUAUAGGGUAAAUGCAUCAUUUAAAGAUAAAAUGUUCUUGCCAGAAGCCAUCCUGAAUCUGGAAAUCUGGAAAAUUUAGUUUUAAGGGAAUCAAGAGUGCUCAGGGUGCUCUGAGUUAGUAGCAAAUGCAUGUUUCCAGUAACUAUACCGCAACAAGUUAACACUAAAGAGAAAAAAUACAUAGUCAACAAAAUGCUGCACUUCUUGUUUUAGUUUAUGUGUUAUUUGCUUUACACAAAGCAGGGAGUGAUAGGGAAUGCAGAAACUCGUGACCUUUCAUUUCAGUGGAACACGAUGAGCCAGAAUAUAUUUAGAUAUAAAGCAUUGAACCACAACAUGCACUGAUGAACUCUUAAAGAAUCCACAUUAAUUGACUGACAGGCACUAUUGAAUUAAUGAAGUUAGUUAUGUGUGGUGAUAAAUACUUAACAUCAAUGUUUCUUGGGCUCAUAUACAAGCCCUUUAGCGCCAAAUCCUUUGUAGAUUGGAAAAUGGGAUAAACAAAAUGUGAUACUGAGUCAGUUGCUGGGCAGGACCUAAGGGAAUCUAGGUCAUCAACUGUUUCAUUUUGGGCUCACUCAUUGUUGAGUUGAAAAUUUCAUAUAUGUUGACUGGUGUGUAUGUGUUCAUAUGCCCAUGUUGGGUCUGAGUUUAAUCUGGCAAUAAGAUUUCUUUCUAAACUUUCAAGAAAAAUACCGAUAUUUAUUGACUCAUUAUUUAGUAAGUUUUAGAAUACAUGAACAUCAGUGUUUUCAACUAUUUGGUGGACAUUUCAGUGACAUAAAGUAUCAGAUUAUCAGGUUUGUUUAAAAUAAAUGUAAUCACCAGAGUGAGCUGACAGUAGAAAUUCAGUCAUGCUGUAUUUGCUUCCAUAAAGAAAGAUCAUCAAUAUAUAGAUCAUGUAAUAGGUAUGCUUUAUAUCAAAUAGGAAAUUUUAUAGGAAACUAGAGGAGAGUGAGAUCCAGCUCUCCAGCAGGAAGGAUGCUACUUAAAAUGGAGCCACUUGGGUCCCUUUAAUAAAGAAAGAUGUUAUUCUGUGCUAUGUCUUUGGAAUUGAAAUUGGAAAACACAUGCCAAUCAGUUCUGUAUGGCUUCUGGUCACACAGAUGCUGUUUUAUCUGAUAAAUUUGGAAUCCAGAUUAUUUUGAUGAAAGGUACAUAGGAGAGCUGCUGAAAAGACCACAGUUUCUAAGGAAGCAGGAGGGCCCUGUAAGUGCCCACAGCCACCCCUGAGUUCUAAUCCUCCUCUAACCUGCCUGAUGGAGUAAACAUGAAGAUUUUAAAUGGAAUCAUGUAAUUUAAAUUUAUAGUUUUUCCUAUACCUUUGUCAACUACUGCCUAUGUGGGUUUUUUUUUUUUUUUUUUUUUUUUUUUUAAACCACCAGAACACUUGCAAACUUGUGAAGUUCACUUAAGGAAAGAUUUCAAAAUGUUUGAAAAUAAACAGUAAUAUCUGGUUGGGAAUUAUUUUUGUGUUCUUUUGCUACAAAAUAAGUUUGCUAGGUUGCAGAAAACAACCACCUGCCUCAGCUUAGACGUGGGAAUCCGCUCUGGCAGCGUCUUGAUUCCCAGGAUGCCAGCUUGCUGUCUGACUUCCUGGUCCUAUCUGCCUCAUUUGCACCUUGACCUUUGUUAGGAAACAGGCCUCCCAUGUGUGGUACCCAAGAUCCCAUCAUUAAAACACUGCCAGACACAGCUCUUUCCUGCUUUUUCUCUACCACUACAAGUCUUCCUGGCUCACCUCCCUUGUUCCUGUUCCUGCUUCAUUUCCUCACUUGACAUUCCCCUAUUAUGACUGUACCAAUAAGUGGAUGAUGAGAGGUAUGAUUGAAUGAUCAUGUUAAUUUUUAUUUGCCUCCCAUGUUACUGUAAACAGUUUCUUAGGUUUCAGCCUAGCCUGUGAUAAUCUCACCACACUGGAAUAAUUCCAAGUAUGAAUGAAAUGGCUCAUUUUCUCCAUUUAUUAUGGAUUAGAAGAAACGAUGAAGGAAGGCUGGCAGAAGCCCAGCCUUACUCUGAGGAGACUCAACUGAAAGGCGUCUCUCCACCGUGAUCUAAUACAGGCCCAGAAUGCAGGGGCAAGUUUAUGUGUGAAGGGAUUCUAGAAUAGCUUGUAAAAAUGGCUAAAUGUAACCAGCACACUGGUGGCUUCAUCCAGUAUUCCCAUAACUUUUAAUUCCAUAGGAAAUUUCAUCUGAGCUACUUCCCAGAAAUCAGAAAUCUCAAUAUAUGUGACAGUAGGUAUUUGGCAUGAGUAAACUGAGUUCAUUUCCCAACAACUCUCUGAGUUAGAACUGGAGUUAUUCUAGUUAAGGGUGGGAAAAAUCAGCCACUGCCUUAGCCUCAUUUCCAUGGCCAGCAUGCUGGUCUCAUCGACAAGGAUGAAACUCAGUAGGGUUUGACCUGAACCCUUGGCUCCUGUGUGGUGUUGGUAGGGCAAUAGUGACCAGAAAACCACAAGGCCUGCAAGAUGUUACUUUGAAAGAGGGAACGUUUAAUGUCAUUUGUUAGGAAAUAGAAACCAAAUAAAGGCCAAGGACCAUACUCAUUCCAUGAAGAGGUGAACUCCCUCAGCUGACUGUAUUUUGAGUUGACUGAAUGAGGAGAUCGACCCAGCUGUAAGGAAUACUGAGGUCAUUAGACCUCAGAAAACAAUAUGUGCAUGCAAUCUCAAGGGCUGUGAACACGGGAAAGGAAGGGAAAAAGACAUUUAUAAAGUCAAUCUUAACAGUUUUUGCAAUACCUCUUAUUUGCAGACUAUUGGAUUUACGUUAUUGCACUCUUCGUGUGAUCUGUCUUAUGUAUCUGAUAGUUUUUAUGAAUAAUUGAGUUGUAAACUCCGAUACACUUUAUUAAAAUGGACCUAAUUAAAGUAUGUGACUCACACUUUGUAUUAUUUCUU
Long non-coding RNA from Equus asinus (donkey), 2982 nucleotides. Lineage: Eukaryota; Metazoa; Chordata; Mammalia; Perissodactyla; Equidae. The record is from Ensembl.